AGCAAACCCGAUGCUGGGGCAGAAGGGGGCCAGCCGGGCAUGGAGAUGGGGAAGCUGUGUCCAUUGAGCGAUAGGGACCGUUGAUUGGCCGUCCGCGUGGCCAAUGGGAUUAUGUAGAGGAAGGAAGAAACGUUCCCGUUCAGGGGGGCGGAAGAUGGCGGCUGGAACGGGCCCGGGGGUCCCGAACGGGGGCCCCGAGGUGCCAAACCGCGACCGUGGCGCCUUCGAAUGUAACAUCUGCCUGGAGCCGGCCCGGGAGGCGGUGAUCGGGCUUUGCGGGCACCUGUACUGCUGGCCCUGCCUGCACAGGUGGCUGGGGGGC
Molecule: long non-coding RNA, 322 nt
Organism: Chelonoidis abingdonii (Abingdon island giant tortoise)
Lineage: Eukaryota; Metazoa; Chordata; Testudines; Testudinidae
Source: RefSeq, a predicted model, not a curated record